AUUGAACGCUGGCGGCAUGCUUUACACAUGCAAGUCGGACGAGUGGCGGACGGGUGAGUAACGCAUCGGAACGUACCGGGUAGUGGGGGAUAACUAUCCGAAACGACAGCUAAUACCGCAUACUAUUCGAGCGACCCAUGUGGGAUUAGCUGGUUGGUGGGGUAAAGGCGCACCAAGGCGACGAUCACUAGCUGGUCUGAGAGGAUGAUCAGCCAAACUGGGACUGAGACACGGCCCAGACUCCUACGGGAGGCAGCAGUGGGGAAUAUUGCACAAUGGGCGCAAGCCUGAUGCAGCCAUGCCGCGUGUAUGAAGAAGGCCUUAGGGUUGUAAAGGACUUUCGUCAGGGAAGCGUUACCCGAAGAAGAAGCACCGGCUAACUACGUGCCAGCAGCCGCGGUAAUAC
RNAcentral lists this ribosomal RNA (406 nucleotides) under uncultured bacterium. RNAcentral's name for it is "partial 16S ribosomal RNA". It matches the Rfam family "Bacterial small subunit ribosomal RNA", at positions 30 to 526 of the family's 1533-position model. The record is from RNAcentral.